CAGGGCGGGGCCUCCGGAAGCUCCGCCCCACGCUUUCCCGGGGCGCAUGCGACGUGGGGCGGAGCGUCUGGAAGCUCCGCCCGUCGCACUGUAGAGUCGGCCGAGGCGCACGAGGUAUUUUUCACGCUCCGCCCCUCUGCAGGCUAAAGUGCGUGGGCGGGAAGCGGUGGGCAGGGUGCCAUCUGGCUCCGCCCUUCUCCUGUGGUGUGGGCCAGGCGGCGGCUUCCUCCUCCUGCAGCAGCCACAGGCUCCACUCUGAUCCUUCUCCCGCGGCAUGGAUCCUUCUCCCGCGGCGUGGAUCCUUCUCCCGCAAUCUCCGUGCGCGUCCCCAGUCAGUACCCGCAGCCUCCCGACGCACCCGCUGGCUCCAAGCCUCCCUACCCCAGGUUUCCUGGCUAAGAGAGAGACAGAGGGAGAGAGGGGGAAGAGAGAGAACAGGCAAUGGGAGGUUGAUGGUGAGAGCUUAUUGAAAGACAAGAGGGAGGAAACCCACAUCCUUCAUUCCCCAUCCAUUCAUUUAUUGCCUUAUUUAUUCCAUUGAAUCUUCACAGCUCUAGAAAAAGUGUGCUACAAUUAUUCCCUUUAUUAAAUGAGGUCACUGAGGCACAGUUUAAGAAAUUUGCCAGCAGGGCACAGUGGGUCACUCCGGUAAUCCCAGAACUUUGAGAGGGGGAGGAAGGUGGAUCCCUUGAGCCCAGGAGUUGGAGACCAGCCUGGCCAACAUGGCGAGACCCCGUUUCUACAAAAAUUAGCCAAAAUUAGCCAAACUGGCUCACACUUGUAGUCCCAGGUACUCGAGAGGCUGAGGCCGGAGGAGCGUGUGAGCCCAGGAGGCAGUGGCUGCGCUGAGCCGUGAUUGUGCCACUGCACUCCAGCCUGGGCAACAGAGUAAGACCCUGUCUCGAAAAAAAAAAAAUGGAAAAAAGAAAAAAAGAACUGGCUGGGAGUGGUGGCUCAUGCCUGUAAUCCCAGCACUUUGGGAGGCCGAGGUGGGUGGAUCACCUGAGGUCAGGAGUUUGAGACCAACCUGACCAACAAGGUGAAAUCCCAUUUCUACUAAAAAUACAAAAAUUAGCCAGGCGUGGUGGCAGGUGCCUGUAGUCCCAGCUACUAGGGAGGCUGAGACAGGAGAAUAGCUUGAACCUGGGAGGCAGAGGUUGCAGUGAGCCGAGAUUGCACCACUGCACUCCAGACUGGGCAAUACAGUGAGACUCCGUCUCAAAAAAACAAAAAAAAUCCUACCACAUGUGCUCCACCAAGCUCUGUCUCCAAGGUGGCCUUGGAAGCCACAUGGGGAAGGUGGCAGAGACUCUAGGAGCCUGAGCAGAAACCCAGAUGAUUAUGAAAAAUGCAGACCUACCCAUCCUUAUUCACCUGGGACCACCGUGAACUAUAUCAUAAGAAAUAAACCCCUAUUGUACAUACAUGCACCAUUCGAGUUGGGUCUAUUUGUUACAGCAGUUUAGCCAACCCUAAUCCACAUAUACAGUGU
RNAcentral lists this long non-coding RNA (1492 nucleotides) under Homo sapiens (human). Its description in RNAcentral is "HSALNT0228068". Lineage: Eukaryota; Metazoa; Chordata; Mammalia; Primates; Hominidae. The record is from RNAcentral.